GGAACGAGUAAAGUGGCGAACGGGUGAGUAACACGUAGGAAUCUCCCCUUUAGUGAAGGAUACCCUCGAGAAAUCGAGGUUAAUACUGCAUAAUUCCCUUCGGGGAAAAAGACGGCCUCUUUGCUGUCGCUAAAGGAUGAGCCUGCGCACUAUUAGCUAGUUGGUGGGGUAAAGGCCUACCAAGGCUGUGAUGGUUAGCCGGCCUGAGAGGGUGAUCGGCCACACUGGGACUGAGAUACGGCCCAGACUCC
RNAcentral lists this ribosomal RNA (251 nucleotides) under uncultured bacterium. Its description in RNAcentral is "partial 16S ribosomal RNA". It matches the Rfam family "Bacterial small subunit ribosomal RNA", at positions 83 to 339 of the family's 1533-position model. The record is from RNAcentral.